RNAcentral lists this ribosomal RNA (490 nucleotides) under uncultured bacterium. RNAcentral describes it as "partial 16S ribosomal RNA". It matches the Rfam family "Bacterial small subunit ribosomal RNA", at positions 30 to 507 of the family's 1533-position model. The record is from RNAcentral.
AUUGAACGCUGGCGGCAGGCCUAACACAUGCAAGUCGAACGGUAACAGGAAGCAGCUUGCUGCUUUGCUGACGAGUGGCGAACGGGUGAGUAAUGUCUGGGAAACUGCCUGAUGGAGGGGGAUAACUACUGGAAACGGUAGCUAAUACCGCAUAACGUCGCAAGACCAAAGAGGGGGACCUUCGGGCCUCUUGCCAUCGGAUGUGCCCAGAUGGGAUUAGCUAGUAGGUGGGGUAACGGCUCACCUAGGCGACGAUCCCUAGCUGGUCUGAGAGGAUGACCAGCCACACUGGAACUGAGACACGGUCCAGACUCCUACGGGAGGCAGCAGUGGGGAAUAUUGCACAAUGGGCGCAAGCCUGAUGCAGCCAUGCCGCGUGUAUGAAGAAGGCCUUCGGGUUGUAAAGUACUUUCAGCGGGGAGGAAGGGAGUAAAGUUAAUACCUUUGCUCAUUGACGUUACCCGCAGAAGAAGCACCGGCUAACUCCGUG